This 58-nucleotide microRNA precursor is filed under the name Pristionchus pacificus. RNAcentral's name for it is "microRNA ppc-mir-8314 precursor". The record is from miRBase by way of RNAcentral. Lineage: Eukaryota; Metazoa; Nematoda; Chromadorea; Rhabditida; Neodiplogasteridae.
AGAUUCAUAUGAGACAACUAGAUUGAUUGUCUAUCUAGCUGCCUCAGAAUGAGUCUAA